Molecule: ribosomal RNA, 483 nt
Filed under: uncultured prokaryote
Description: partial 16S ribosomal RNA
Source: RNAcentral
CCCUACGGGGUGCAGCAGGGACUCCAAACCAUCCAUAUGAUCGAUCCCAUUCAGAACCUGUCCGGACGUACAGUCCAUAUCCAUCUUUUUCGAUGUGCAGUUGUCCGGCGCACGACAGGCGGUUUCGAAAGGACUGCUUGUUUCUGCGUCUCUAUCACCCAUGGUUUUCUCCUUUACAGUAGUUCGUCUGAUGAACUGGAAAAGCUGCAACAAUGGCAUUGUGGAGCAGUCGCCGGAACCGGAAGAAUGCGUCCCUGUCCCGGCCGUAAUAAACCGAAUUGGUCAGCAGCACGACGGAUAGGCCGGUCUGCGCAUCCACCCAGAGGGAGGUGCGGGUGAAACCCGUAUGACCGAACGAGCCGACGGAGAACAGAUCCCCGCAGGAAAGCGGACGCCCGUCAUAGAGGGAGAUGCCGAGGCCCCGGCUUUCCUCGAGACCGGGGGUCGCAUUUCGUGUGGCAGUGCGGAACAUGGCGGGGGGGC